This 253-nucleotide ribosomal RNA is filed under the name uncultured bacterium. RNAcentral's name for it is "partial 16S ribosomal RNA". It matches the Rfam family "Bacterial small subunit ribosomal RNA", at positions 524 to 776 of the family's 1533-position model. The record is from RNAcentral.
UACGUAGGGGGCUAGCGUUGUCCGGAAUUAUUGGGCGUAAAGAGCGCGUAGGCGGCCAAGUAAGUCCGGUGUGAAAACUCGAGGCUUAACCUCGAGAUGUCAUCGGAAACUAUUUGGCUAGAGUCCGGAAGAGGAAAGUGGAAUUCCUGGUGUAGCGGUGAAAUGCGUAGAUAUCGGGAAGAACACCGGUGGCGAAGGCGGCUUUCUGGGACGGUACUGACGCUGAGACGCGAAAGCGAGGGGAGCGAACAGG